UGUUGACCUCAGAUCGUGUAAGAAUACCCUCUGAACUUACGCAUA
This 45-nucleotide ribosomal RNA is filed under the name Fusarium sp. RNAcentral's name for it is "partial 28S ribosomal RNA". The record is from RNAcentral. Lineage: Eukaryota; Fungi; Ascomycota; Sordariomycetes; Hypocreales; Nectriaceae.